CUUAUAUUAGAUUAGAAUAGUCAAUGCAAAAAAUGAAAUGCUCGAAUGUAAUUUGAAUGAAAUACCUGAGAAGGACACAAUCAGUGCGCUUAUGAAGCCUUAAUUUGGGAAUGUUUAAGCCAGCAUGAGUAAUAUUGAUUUGUUAAGAAUUUUGCCUUAUGCCGAGGACGAUGUUGGAACCAUAUGAGGGUGUUGUGGAUGGAAUGGGUGGCGAGUUGUGUCAACGAGGAGGCGUUUCUGAUUGGGAUGCUGUCGAGAUGGAGGUAGUGAAGGAGAACGAUGAGUGCCAGGAGGUGAUGCAAGUAAUUUGUUGUGUUAAAGGUGAUCGAGUGGUCAAAAUUGAUGCGAGUUUGGAUAAGGAACGUCCCUUGGCCGUAAGGUUAAUUGUCGAAUGUGUUUGUGAUGAUGAAGAGGAUAUGGUUUACGAAUCGUUGGAUUAUUGUACAACGAGAAGACUUUCGGAUGAUAUACCUGUGUUUAGCGGAUCCAUCGUCUUUUUUAUCGUGAGAAGGUAGAGGUGAGAAUGAAAUUUGAUGAGCUUCUCGAACGGGGCGUUAUAUGUUCAAGUGGUUUCCCAUAUGCUUCUCCGAUAGUAUUGGUUAGUCGAAGGAAUGGUAAAAUGAGGCUAAGUGUUGACUAUCGCGGACUGAAUAAGAUACCUUUGAAGGAUAAUUACCCGAUGCUCACGAUAGAGGACUGUUUGGACUAUUUGAGCGGUAAGCGUUAUUUUUCGGCAAUUGAUAUGGAGAGUAGUUUUCAUUAAGUGCAAAUGGACGAGGAUUCGAUUGACCGGGUAGGCUAUACCAGGCUAUUAUGGACCGAUUCUGACCGUACUUAACACGUAAGUUGUGGGUCAUGGGAGAAUCAUGGGAAUUGUGGAAAAUUUCAACCAAAUCGGUUAAGAAUUGCACUCUCUAGAUUCUCAAGAGGUGUAAAAAGAAGAUCAAUUUACAUGAGAGCUAUAUCUGGUUAUGAACCGAUUCAGACUGUUGAAUGUCGUAGGAAAAGUCACUACAAAAACUCAGCCAAAACUGAUAAGAAUUGUUCCCGCUUACACCUGCCCCAGAAACGUCUCCUUUGUCCGCCUUUUUAACAUGGUGCACUAUCCGUUGAAACGAGAUUUAGGCGAAUGUGGGUUCCAUUUCAAAACGUUAUAAAAAAAGUUCAAAUUAUGUUGGGAGUUUGGAAACUUCAUGGACAAUAUUUAAAGGUAAGUAAAUCCAAGAAACAUCAGGCAGUGCAGUGACAUAGAACUCAAUGCCGCCUAACUCAUAUGGGGUUCCUGAUGAGACCAUAACCUACUCCCAAGAACAUAAUUUUCUCGAGAUUUUGAUGACUAGUAUACGCAAAGAUAUUUAUUUUGAACAACGGGCAGUGUAGGGACGGUAGACUCAACAUAGCCUAACAAACAGGGACCCGAUGAUGGAACCAUUACUAGGAUAGACAAAUUUCCUAAUAUUAAAACAUCAGGCGGUGCAGCGACGGAAAACUCAAUGCAGCCUAAAGAAAAGGGAGCAGACGAUGACACCAUCACUCACUCCCCAGAAGCCCAUCUAAUGGAGGACCAAUGAUUGAGAUCACUCACGCUCUGAUGGAGAAAAUACACAAGGCCUAGAUUCAUAUUGCCUUAAUUCAGGAGCUAUGGACGACCCGAAACAAAGUUUCUGGACUGAACCAUAUCAACUACCAAUUAUUCUUUGCUAACACUGGUAAUCGGCCGAGGACCUGCGAUAUUUGUCACAAAAAAUUUAAUUAUGUGAUGAGACAGGGAGACAGUGGACUCCGACACCGCCACCUACGUUGGAUCUGCAACGGUUGGUGAGGAAAGCAAAGCAGACAGGAAAUGAGGUACUAAUAUGGUGCGAUGCGAUCUAUCACCACAUUUAGUGGGUUAGUACCAACAUUAAUAAGCGGGGUCAAACCCUGCCAAAAUUCGGAAGAAUACUCAGAAGAUGACUUGGACAAGAUAAUUUAGAUUGUCCAAGCAUAGAAGACAGUGCGACAACGUCAACAGGAUUACCAUUGCACCAGAGGAGUCUUUCCAAAAUAGUUGUAAUCUUCGAGAAAGAGGUCCGCAGACUUUAUUACAGAGCACGUCGUAAAAAAGGGGAAGUUUUUUGGGAUGUGUACUAUACACAGCUCGAGGAAUACAAGAGAUUACCAGAGCGGCAAAACGUGCCUGGAAGAUUUUCUGUGAACAUGUCGAUAGGGUUAAUGACGCUGAUAGGGGGCGCCCCGGUAGCCGAGUUGGUAGUGUGCUUGGAUUACCAGUGCUGGGGUUGAUUCCCGCCAGAAGCCUUGGUCUGACGCUACUGUGGUAUCACAAUGGACAAAAAUUGUCUAAGUGAGUCUGUAAAGGACUGCCACUCUUACCUAGCCUAACCUAUGACGCCGCCAAGAUGAAAAACUUUCUCUCAAAAUUCCAUGUCCAAACUGAAACGUUAGUAUACGACAUGGGAGUGAGAGAAGAGACAACGGAGGACAUUUUCCACAGCAUACGACGGGACUCACGGAGACACCGGCAUCUUGGAAUAAUGAGGUUGAACGAAUGCUUAUAAUAACCGAAUUUUUAGUCAAGGGAGCCUGGGGUGGUAUUUAUACCCAAGCACGGCAAGGCAAGUUAUGCGACACCAAAAGCCUACCCAUAAGCUUUACGUCCUUUCUACUCAAAACCAUGUUCCAUGUUCCAUUGUGGAUACCAUGAUAAAGAGAAGGACAUCCAUGCUUUGAACUGCUUGAAUCCUUCGAUGCCAAGACGUACACUUUGGCGGUUUGCAUUGACAUCGAGGGGGCGUUUAACAAUGUUCGGACAGACACAUUAGACCAGUACCCGGCCUUAAAGACUGGAUAAAUCAUAUGCUAAGGAACAGGUGGAUAAAUUGCGGGUCCCAUGACGGAAAUAUAAGAGAGAACGUCACACAGGGCACGCCACCAUAAAUAACCUAUUACGGAUGCUGACUGUGGAGGGACUUGAAGCGGUCUGCUAUGCAGACGAUGUUAUAAUACUUCUUAGGGAUAAGGAUUCAAACCAGCUAUGCAGAAGGGCCGAAUGGGUUUUGCAUGUGGCAUAUGACUGGGCUAGACCCAGGGAUGUUAAUGUUAAUACAGGGAAGACUGAAAUAUGUCUGUUCACGAGGAAGACGAAGGUGGGCCCAUUAGACGCACAACGUUUCCUCAACGAAAUAAUUUCGAUAUCUGACAAGUUCAAUUACAUAGGAGUGAUCUUGGAUAGGAAACUUAAUUGGAAGUGUGACAUUAAGGACAGCCUCUGCGUCCUGGUGACAGCCUCUGCGGCCAAUAGGGUCCCUUUUAGAUUCUCGUUUGUCCGUCCGUCUAGUCUUUGGGGUUUUCUGAUGUGCUGCUUUCUCAGCACCGUAAGGUCAACAUUGGCUGAUGGGCAAGGAAAUAUCCUCUACUAUCCACUACCUAACCUAACUAUGAGCUCAUGCUUAGGUUACUCUAUAGAACCCAACCAAAGGAAAAAACUUUUUUAACAAAAUAAAUCUGUCGAGAGUCAACCGUCUGUAUGCCUGUCGGUUUAUGGUCAGAGAAACUUUUUGGACUACCUUAUGG
Molecule: long non-coding RNA, 3573 nt
Organism: Stomoxys calcitrans (stable fly)
Lineage: Eukaryota; Metazoa; Arthropoda; Insecta; Diptera; Muscidae
Exons: 3
Source: RefSeq, a predicted model, not a curated record